RNAcentral lists this ribosomal RNA (648 nucleotides) under uncultured bacterium. RNAcentral describes it as "bacterial SSU rRNA". It matches the Rfam family "Bacterial small subunit ribosomal RNA", at positions 67 to 750 of the family's 1533-position model. The record is from RNAcentral.
CGAGAAAGUGGAGCAUCCAUGAGUAAAGUGGCGUACGGGUGAGUAACACGUGGGUGAUCUACCUCUUAGUGAGGAAUAACCCUGGGAAACCGGGGCUAAUACCGCAUAAGCCUGAGAAGGGAAAGUCGAAAGACGCUGAGAGAGGAGCCCGCGGCGAUUAGCUAGUUGGUGAGGUAAGAGCCCACCAAGGCAGAGAUCGGUAGCCGGCCUGAGAGGGCACACGGCCACACUGGCACUGAAACACGGGCCAGACUCCUACGGGAGGCAGCAGUGGGGAAUCUUGCACAAUGGGGGAAACCCUGAUGCAGCGACGCCGCGUGAGCGAUGAAGCCCUUCGGGGUGUAAAGCUCUUUCGGCAGGGAAGAUAGUGACGGUACCUGCAGAAGCAGCUGCGGCUAACUACGUGCCAGCAGCCGCGGUAAUACGUAGGCAGCAAGCGUUGUUCGGAGUUACUGGGCGUAAAGGGUGUGUAGGCGGUUCUUUAAGUUUGGUGUGAAAUCUCCCGGCUCAACCGGGAGGGUGCGCCGAAUACUGAGGGACUAGAGUGCGGGAGAGGAAAGUGGAAUUCCUGGUGUAGCGGUGAAAUGCGUAGAUAUCAGGAGGAACACCGGUGGUGUAGACGGUUUCUGGACCGUAACUGACGCUGAG